UAUAUAUUGGUGUAUGAAGCACAAAAAUUUUUGAUAUUUUUAGGAAUAGUUUAAAUCUAUUAUAUAUAU
Molecule: transfer RNA, 69 nt
Filed under: Neopsylla specialis
Lineage: Eukaryota; Metazoa; Arthropoda; Insecta; Siphonaptera; Ctenophthalmidae
Also listed under: 2 other names
Description: tRNA-Gln
Source: RNAcentral